Molecule: ribosomal RNA, 556 nt
Filed under: Alphaproteobacteria bacterium
Lineage: Bacteria; Pseudomonadati; Pseudomonadota; Alphaproteobacteria
Description: bacterial SSU rRNA
Rfam family: Bacterial small subunit ribosomal RNA
Source: RNAcentral
UCCAACUUGAGAGUUUGAUCCUGGCUCAGAGCGAACGCUGGCGGCAGGCCUAACACAUGCAAGUCGAGCGCCCCUCCUUCAGAGGACAGAGGACGAACGACAGAUGACGGAUUGAUCGAGCUUGGAGCUUUACAGCUUUGGGCCGGCCCAUCUGUCGCUGAUCGGUCGAGACGGACCAUUCGUUGUCCGUUGUCUGAUCUCUGUUUUGUGAUGGAGGGGAGCGGCAGACGGGAGAGUAACACGUGGGAACGUACCCUUUGGUUCGGAACAACCCAGGGAAACUUGGGCUAAUACCGGAUAAGCCCUUACGGGGAAAGAUUUAUCGCCGAAGGAUCGGCCCGCGUCUGAUUAGCUAGUUGGUGGGGUAAUGGCCCACCAAGGCGACGAUCAGUAGCUGGUCUGAGAGGAUGAUCAGCCUCACUGGGACUGAGACACGGCCCAGACUCCUACGGGAGGCAGCAGUGGGGAAUAUUGGACAAUGGGCGCAAGCCUGAUCCAGCCAUGCCGCGUGGGUGAUGAAGGCCCUAGGGUUGUAAAGCCCUUUCGGCGGGGAAGA